ACCACUCCGGAUCACCAAGACACAAAGGUCGAAAUAUGCAACUAAUGGCUUGAUGGAUGGGGAGGAGGACCAUGAUGACCUGGCCUUCACAUAAUUAUUAGCAUACCAUGAAUCAUUGCUUGUUAAUGUCAGUAAAAAUGCAGGAUGAUGUCGUUUCCGAUGUCUUGCCAGGCUGCUGUAUCUGAACAUUUGGAUCCCCUAUUUGGGUAAAAUCGUUUCCACUUUACAAGUUUCUUUCUACUUCAUUUGGUUAGUUAUCAUGGUGGUUAAUUUCUUCUUGUUUGUUUUUGUGAGCGGUGCAACUUCCUUGUGCAUGACAAAAUAAUUCUGUCCAAAUAAUUCGUUCUUUGAGCAAAGCAACUUCGUUGGGGAUGCCAAAAGAAGUUUCAGUUUUCUUACUAAUUCACCGCGAUUGGUAAGGAUAGAACAAUGAGAGUUUUCCUUAUCUUGAUUUUGUACUGAACAUAAUCAUUUAUGGAAGGCCUUCAAAUAGUUCUAUAUAGUAUAUCAACGAGGAACAUUAUGAAGCUCUUGGGGCGUUCUCUCUUAGUAUUACAAUCUAAAUCCUUGUUGUGUUUGUAAGAAAUUGUGUUAAACAUGGUUAUUAGCUUAUUGGAUCUUGAACAAACUGCAUUACAUGUGCAGUAAUUUUAGUGUCUAGACAUGCAUACUCUGUUAUGUUAGAUUUAGGAGAAAGAGUUAUUUUAUUCAUUCAUCCGUAUUUUUUGGCUAUAAUGCAAAUCUAUUUUUUAUCUAUUGAUCUUCUUUGCUUCAGUUGUGCUCUUGUUACUUUGUUUGUAAGUUAGCAUGACAGAAUUUUUCAUGCUAAAAUGAUUCAUGGUUGCAGGCUGCCGUGACACUAAACUGGCCCCCCCCCUAGAAACUGACAAAAAUUUACUUUUGCAGCUAUGUAGUCUUCUCAAAUCCAUGGUUUAAUCGCCUGAAUUUCUUGAGAAGCUUGACCCAUUCACAAGCAUGUAGCAUCAUGCGACACACAUGAAUAUAUCGGUCACACGUUCAUGCAACCAGCUGAUGCCAGACACAUAUGAAUCCGCCGCCCGUGCGUUGAUGGGGACGCCUCGCGUCUGGAUAGAGGCGACACACCUAGACGCCAUCCUGCCUCACGCACACACGAGCCAGAUCGGUCCAUCCUUCAUUCAGGUCCAUCUUUACAGUAGUUUUCGUACUUCACACUUUGGAAGCAAAAUCAUGUAAGUUAUCUAUUAGAGAUGGUGUACAAAUAAAAAUACAUGUUUAGAAAUCAGAUUCACCACAAAACAAACAAAUACAACAAAUCCAUCGUGAAUGAAGGAUUCUCUCAAAAUAAUUUUGUCGGCCUUUUUACUUGUUCCAACUUCCGAGCACCUAUUGAUGUGAAACCACGGCAACAUGAUAGGUGAUACUAAGUUAUGUUGCGAGAAAUGAAAUAGUUUGUGUCAACAAGAAGAGAAACUUCAUGCAGAUCCACGAGCUGGCCGGGGCAGCUUGGUUUCCUCCUACGUGUGCGGGGUCUGCACUGUAAUGUAUGUGUGUUACAAUGACAACGACGAGAAUGAGAAGGUUAACUUGGUUUUUAUUAGUUGUAGACAUAGUUUCAAAUAGCCGGCUAUAGCCCCGCUAUAGCCUUGCGAUAGCCUUUUCAGCAGGGUGCCGCUAAAUGGUAUCAUGUACAAAUAUGCCGCUAUAGCUGAUUUUCAGGCCUGCCGCUAUUUGCCAUAGCCCACUAUUUAAAACAUUUGCAGUGUCAUUGCCCUUGUUUCCUCUUAUGUUUCUAUGAUUAGAGUUUUGGACUGACGAUUUGCAGAGUAGUGGUGAGGAAUUGUUGUUAUGAUUUAUGAGGUCCAGUGCCGGUGACCAGAUAACUCUAGCAAGUGUUCAAAAUUCAUGUACAAACAGAACGACGGGUACCCCCCCCCCCGCGUGCGCCCAAACUCACUUUGUAAUGUUGAUAUGAAGGCAUUGUUGUACUCUUUAUCUUCCAAUUUUGUGGCUUGAGAAGUAUGUGCAGUUUUACUUUCCUCUCUUUUAAUUUCAGUUUAACCACUCAUAGGUUUGAAUAAGAAAUGCAUAGGGCACAUGGAAAUGUUAUGAUAUAUUUCAGAGAUUGUGUUUUGGGCCACAAGUUGACAAACAUCUAGCACUUUGUGAACAAUGUCCAUAGAACGAUGGGGUUGCGAUGGCCUGGAGAUGAAGGUACGGUGGUGUCCUGACCAUGAGAGCAUAACAAUGGUGGCCUGAAUAUUAUGCUUAGUGAAGUCAUUUUUUCACCAUUCACCAAUCUGAAAUUAGUUAUUCAGACAAAGUAAGUUUCUGGCAAAGCAUACUUCAUAGUUAUAUUCGACUAAAAUUUUCUUCAGUUUUUUGUUCUAUCUAAUUGACACUUUUUUUGUAUGUACAGAGUUUAUGGUAGAGAGACCUUUGUUUGUACUGACUAUUGAAUUUUGUCCUUUAUAUUUCCAAACUCUUUUGUUAUGUUCUUUACUCUCGAGUCCAUACUUUCAAGAUUUUUUGUUCUUCCAGGAUUUCAGAGAGUAUGGACCACCGUAUGGCUAAAGGAGAUGUAAUUCUUGACUGUCGUUGUCCUUGCUGUGUUGCUGCCAUUUUCCUGGCGGUAAUCUGUGCAGUGCGGAGACUUGAGUGUGACCACUGUAGAGCAUGCCUUGUGAUCAAUUGUUCACUUGUUGAGAUAUUUUUCUCCACGCCCGUUUUGUCGCUCUAAUUUCUGAUUUUAGCUACGUAGGAGUUUUGAUGAAUUUAAUCUUCUCCGCCGUGCGUUCUGAGGGCAGAAUUACAUGGUAGUUUCCAACGCUGGUUGGCAAGAAAAAAGUUAUGUGGUGAUUUUGAGAUAUUUUCUCCUACCCGUUUUGUCGCUCAAAUUUCUGAUUUU
This 2887-nucleotide long non-coding RNA is filed under the name Hordeum vulgare. RNAcentral describes it as "long non-coding RNA (HVUL_LNC005023)". The record is from RNAcentral. Lineage: Eukaryota; Viridiplantae; Streptophyta; Magnoliopsida; Poales; Poaceae.